RNAcentral lists this ribosomal RNA (253 nucleotides) under uncultured bacterium. Its description in RNAcentral is "partial 16S ribosomal RNA". It matches the Rfam family "Bacterial small subunit ribosomal RNA", at positions 524 to 776 of the family's 1533-position model. The record is from RNAcentral.
UACGUAGGGGGCUAGCGUUGUCCGGAAUCAUUGGGCGUAAAGAGCGUGUAGGCGGUCCGGUAAGUCCGCUGUGAAAGUCGGGGGCUCAACCCUCGAAUGCCGGUGGAUACUGUCGGGCUAGAGUACGGAAGAGGCGAGUGGAAUUCCUGGUGUAGCGGUGAAAUGCGCAGAUAUCAGGAGGAAUACCGAUGGCGAAGGCAGGUCUCUGGGCUGACACUGACGCUCAUGCACGAAAGCGUGGGGAGCAAACAGG